RNAcentral lists this ribosomal RNA (540 nucleotides) under Bifidobacterium bifidum. RNAcentral's name for it is "bacterial SSU rRNA". It matches the Rfam family "Bacterial small subunit ribosomal RNA", at positions 159 to 711 of the family's 1533-position model. The record is from RNAcentral. Lineage: Bacteria; Bacillati; Actinomycetota; Actinomycetes; Bifidobacteriales; Bifidobacteriaceae.
GGUGGUAAUGCCGGAUGUUCCACAUGAUCGCAUGUGAUUGUGGGAAAGAUUCUAUCGGCGUGGGAUGGGGUCGCGUCCUAUCAGCUUGUUGGUGAGGUAACGGCUCACCAAGGCUUCGACGGGUAGCCGGCCUGAGAGGGCGACCGGCCACAUUGGGACUGAGAUACGGCCCAGACUCCUACGGGAGGCAGCAGUGGGGAAUAUUGCACAAUGGGCGCAAGCCUGAUGCAGCGACGCCGCGUGAGGGAUGGAGGCCUUCGGGUUGUAAACCUCUUUUGUUUGGGAGCAAGCCUUCGGGUGAGUGUACCUUUCGAAUAAGCGCCGGCUAACUACGUGCCAGCAGCCGCGGUAAUACGUAGGGCGCAAGCGUUAUCCGGAUUUAUUGGGCGUAAAGGGCUCGUAGGCGGCUCGUCGCGUCCGGUGUGAAAGUCCAUCGCUUAACGGUGGAUCUGCGCCGGGUACGGGCGGGCUGGAGUGCGGUAGGGGAGACUGGAAUUCCCGGUGUAACGGUGGAAUGUGUAGAUAUCGGAAAGAACACCA